CAGCGAGUCGUCUUCUCUUCUUCCGGCGCCAUAAGCACGAUUUGUGAAGUCCGCUGAAAGGACGAUACAUAAAUCCGUCUCCAAAAAGCAUAUAAACAACGCUUUAGGAAAAAGGAAGUAAAUAUAAGACCAACGAAUGAUAACAAUGGUUGAUCUUUUGCUACAAAUACUGGAAAAAAAUGCUUCUCUUCUAAUUUGUGAUUGAACUUGCAAGAAAGCUUGAAAUUUUGGUGACAGCAUGUAUUGAUAACACAGGCCAAGAUCGGUUUUCCUGUUAAAAUAAAUAAAUCAAAAGAGCAAAAAGUGAAGAAUAUCAGAUUUGAAGCAAGAAUUUUUUAUCGAAUUAAAAAGAAAAAGGUACCCGUCUUCAUGGAGGAUGGAGGAAAAGUGGAACUCUCUUUUUAUCCAUGGAGACAAAAAUGAGAUAUUAGCGUUUGAAAUUGUUGUCAUCAAAGAGGAAGAAGAAAGGGUUUUGGUAGAAAUUAAUGGCUAUUACUACCAAUGAAGGAAGAAUGAAACGGUUGGGUUUCUCAAUUAAACUAAUCGGUAAAUUAAAGAAGAAGAAAUUUAUUACUCGA
This 578-nucleotide long non-coding RNA is filed under the name Nicotiana tabacum (common tobacco). Its description in RNAcentral is "long non-coding RNA (NTAB_LNC009075)". The record is from RNAcentral. Lineage: Eukaryota; Viridiplantae; Streptophyta; Magnoliopsida; Solanales; Solanaceae.